Molecule: long non-coding RNA, 449 nt
Organism: Talpa occidentalis (Iberian mole)
Lineage: Eukaryota; Metazoa; Chordata; Mammalia; Eulipotyphla; Talpidae
Exons: 3
Source: RefSeq, a predicted model, not a curated record
GGGCCGGAAGCGCGGCUGACCCGGCCAGCGGCUCAGGGACUCGGGGCAGGACGGACAAGGGGCGGGUGUAAACCGCACCCCUCGCCUCCCCCCCACGCGUCUACACAGGCGCCCCGUCUACACAGGCGCCACUACUUCACAGACCUUCCCUCCUGUCUCUCCGUGUUGGCUGAGGGACAUAUCAGAGGACGCGGCUGGGCAGCAUCAAAAUCAAAAUGGCUUUGAACCUGGGAGCAGAGAGGUCGCUGUGCCUGCAGCUGAAGAUAGCCCCCACUGGUGCAAGCAGAACUCUGCAGCAGGGAGGGGGACUCCAUGCCAGCAAGUGUCAAUGACUAGCAUCAGCUCCAGUGCAGCUGUUGACCAGACCUGCAGCGUCUGGAAGAGACCGAUGCCUUUCCCCAUCACCCCUCCUCAAUUAUACAAGUCCGAAGCACAGGAGGGUGAGAGAA